GUGAGGAAUAUUGGUCAAUGGGCGAGAGCCUGAACCAGCCAAGUCGCGUGAAGGAAGAAGGAUCUAUGGUUCGUAAACUUCUUUUGCAGGGGAAUAAAGUGCAGGACGUGUCCUGUUUUGUAUGUACCCUGAGAAUAAGGAUCGGCUAACUCCGUGCCAGCAGCCGCGGUAAUACGGAGGAUCCGAGCGUUAUCCGGAUUUAUUGGGUUUAAAGGGUGCGUAGGUGGUUUGAUAAGUCAGCGGUGAAAGUUUGCAGCUUAACUGUAAAAAUGCCGUUGAAACUGUAGGGCUUGAGUGUAAAUGAGGUAGGCGGAAUGCGUGGUGUAGCGGUGAAAUGCAUAGAUAUCACGCAGAACUCCGAUUGCGAAGGCAGCUUACUAAGCUACAACUGACACUGAAGCACGAAAGCGUGGGGAUCAAACAGGAUUAGAUACCCCAGUAGUCC
RNAcentral lists this ribosomal RNA (445 nucleotides) under uncultured bacterium. Its description in RNAcentral is "partial 16S ribosomal RNA". It matches the Rfam family "Bacterial small subunit ribosomal RNA", at positions 354 to 796 of the family's 1533-position model. The record is from RNAcentral.